UACGGAGGAUCCAAGCGUUAUCCGGAUUCAUUGGGUUUAAAGGGUGCGCAGGCGGAAUGAUAAGUCAGUGGUGAAAUCUCUCGGCUCAACUGAGAAACUGCCAUUGAUACUGUCGUUCUUGAGUACACUUGGAGUGGGCGGAAUGUGUCAUGUAGCGGUGAAAUGCUUAGAUAUGACACAGAACACCGAUCGCGAAGGCAGCUCACUAAGUUGUAACUGACGCUCAGGCACGAAAGCGUGGGGAUCAAACAGGAUUAGAUACCCUGGUAGUCCACGCCGUAAACGAUGAUCACUCGAUGUUGGCGAUAUACUGUCAGCGUCUAAGCGAAAGCAUUAAGUGAUCCACCUGGGGAGUACGAUCGCAAGAUUGAA
This 372-nucleotide ribosomal RNA is filed under the name uncultured bacterium. RNAcentral describes it as "bacterial SSU rRNA". It matches the Rfam family "Bacterial small subunit ribosomal RNA", at positions 524 to 898 of the family's 1533-position model. The record is from RNAcentral.